UGGGGAAUAUUGCGCAAUGGGCGAAAGCCUGACGCAGCGACGCCGCGUGAGGGAUGAAGGUUUUCGGAUCGUAAACCUCUGUCAGAAGGGAAGAAACCGCACUGUGCUAAUCAGCAGUGCCUUGACGGUACCUUCAAAGGAAGCACCGGCUAACUCCGUGCCAGCAGCCGCGGUAAUACGGAGGGUGCAAGCGUUAAUCGGAAUUACUGGGCGUAAAGCGCACGUAGGCUGCUUUGUAAGUCAGGGGUGAAAUCCCACGGCUCAACAGUGGAACUGCCUUUGAUACUGCUUAGCUUGAAUCCGGGAGAGGGUGGCGGAAUUCCAGGUGUAGGAGUGAAAUCCGUAGAUAUCUGGAGGAACAUCAGUGGCGAAGGCGGCCACCUGGACCGGUAUUGACGCUGAGGUGCGAAAGCGUGGGGAGCAAACAGG
Molecule: ribosomal RNA, 429 nt
Filed under: Fusobacteriota bacterium
Lineage: Bacteria; Fusobacteriati; Fusobacteriota
Description: Fusobacteria bacterium partial 16S ribosomal RNA
Rfam family: Bacterial small subunit ribosomal RNA
Source: RNAcentral